GGUCAAGCUACUAAGGGCGUACGGUGAAUGCCUUGGCACCAACAGUCGAUGAAGGACGUGGCAAGCUGCGAUAAGCCCCGGUGAGCCGCAAGCAGGCUUUGACCCGGGGAUUUCCGAAUGGGGAAACCCACUCUGGCUAAUCCCGGAGUAUCCCAUCCUGAAUCCAUAGGGGUGGGAAGGCAACGCAGGGAAGUGAACCAUCUCAGUACCUGCAGGAAAAGAAAACAAGUCAGUGAUUCCGCUAGUAGCGGCGAGCGAACGCGGAACAGCCCAAACCAGGAGGCAUGCUUCCUGGGGUUGUAGGGCCCGUUUGGCCGCAAGGCCGCCGAGUGAUAAACCGGAUCGAUAGUCGAACCCUCUGGAACGUGGGACCAUAGAAGGUGACAGUCCUGUAGACGACAUCCAUCCGGCUCGGUGGACGGGUACCUGAGUACCGCGGGACACGUGAAAUCCCGUGGGAAUCUGCGAGGACCAUCUCGCAAGGCUAAAUACUCGUUGGUGACCGAUAGUGAACCAGUACCGUGAGGGAAAGGUGAAAAGCACCCCUGUGAGGGGAGUGAAAGAGUACCUGAAACCGUAUGCCUACAAGCAGUGGGAGGGCGUUUACCGGGGUAACCCGGUGUUGCCUGACCGCGUGCCUUUUGCAUAAUGAGCCGGCUAGUUA
This 664-nucleotide ribosomal RNA is filed under the name uncultured Acidobacteriota bacterium. RNAcentral describes it as "bacterial LSU rRNA". It matches the Rfam family "Bacterial large subunit ribosomal RNA", at positions 1 to 630 of the family's 2925-position model. Lineage: Bacteria; Pseudomonadati; Acidobacteriota. The record is from RNAcentral.